This 429-nucleotide ribosomal RNA is filed under the name Chloroflexota bacterium. RNAcentral describes it as "Chloroflexi bacterium partial 16S ribosomal RNA". It matches the Rfam family "Bacterial small subunit ribosomal RNA", at positions 355 to 776 of the family's 1533-position model. Lineage: Bacteria; Bacillati; Chloroflexota. The record is from RNAcentral.
UGGGGAAUAUUGCACAAUGGGCGCAAGCCUGAUGCAGCCAUGCCGCGUGUGUGAAGAAGGCCUUCGGGUUGUAAAGUACUUUCAGUCGGGAGGAAGGUGGUAAGGUUAAUAACCUUAUCAAUUGACGUUACCGACAGAAGAAGCACCGGCUAACUCCGUGCCAGCAGCCGCGGUAAUACGGAGGGUGUAAGCGUUAAUCGGAAUUACUGGGCGUAAAGCGCACGCAGGCGGUUGAUUGAGUCAGAUGUGAAAUCCCCGGGCUUAACCCGGGAAUUGCAUCUGAUACUGGUCAGCUAGAGUCUUGUAGAGGGGGGUAGAAUUCCAUGUGUAGCGGUGAAAUGCGUAGAGAUGUGGAGGAAUACCGGUGGCGAAGGCGGCCCCCUGGACAAAGACUGACGCUCAGGUGCGAAAGCGUGGGGAGCAAACAGG